GUACGGGGGGUGCAAGCGUUAAUCGGAAUUACUGGGCGUAAAGCGCGCGUAGGCGGUUGGACAAGUUGGAUGUGAAAGCCCCGGGCUCAACCUGGGAAUGGCAUCCAAAACUGUCCGACUAGAGUUCGGUAGAGGGGAGUGGAAUUCCACAUGUAGCGAUGAAAUGCGUAGAUAUGUGGAGGAACACCAGUGGCGAAGGCGGCUCCCUGGAUCGAAACUGACGCUGAGGUGCGAAAGCGUGGGUAGCAAACAGGAUUAGAAACCCCAGUAGUCC
Molecule: ribosomal RNA, 274 nt
Filed under: uncultured bacterium
Lineage: Bacteria
Description: partial 16S ribosomal RNA
Rfam family: Bacterial small subunit ribosomal RNA
Source: RNAcentral